RNAcentral lists this unclassified non-coding RNA (195 nucleotides) under plant metagenome. RNAcentral describes it as "partial contains small subunit ribosomal RNA, internal transcribed spacer 1, and 5.8S ribosomal RNA". The record is from RNAcentral.
UCUCCGUUGGUGAACCAGCGGAGGGAUCAUUACCGAGUUUACAACUCCCAAACCCCUGUGAACAUACCAUUUGUUGCCCCGGCGGUGCCUGCUUCGGCAGCCCGCCAGAGGACCCAAACCCUUGAUUUUAUACAGUAUCUUCUGAGUAAAUGAUUAAAUAAAUCAAAACUUUCAACAACGGAUCUCUUGGUUCUG